This 498-nucleotide ribosomal RNA is filed under the name uncultured bacterium. Its description in RNAcentral is "bacterial SSU rRNA". It matches the Rfam family "Bacterial small subunit ribosomal RNA", at positions 12 to 518 of the family's 1533-position model. The record is from RNAcentral.
UUCGAUUCUAGCUCAGGAUGAACGCUGGCGGCGUGCUUAACACAUGCAAGUCGAACGGGAUAUACUUUUAGCUUGCUAAGUUGUAUAUCUAGUGGCGGACGAGUGAGUAACGCGUGGGUAACCUGCCGUAUGCUGGGGGACAACAGUUGGAAACGACUGCUAAUACCGCAUAAGCGCACGAGAUCGCAUGAUCCUGUGUGAAAAAACUCCGGUGGCAUACGAUGGACCCGCGUCUGAUUAGCCAGUUGGCAGGGUAACGGCCUACCAAAGCGACGAUCAGUAGCCGGCCUGAGAGGGUGAACGGCCACAUUGGGACUGAGACACGGCCCAGACUCCUACGGGAGGCAGCAGUGGGGAAUAUUGCACAAUGGGGGAAACCCUGAUGCCAGCGACGCCGCGUGAGUGAAGAAGUAUUUCGGUAUGUAAAGCUCUAUCAGCAGGAAAGAAAAUGACGGUACCUGACUAAGAAGCCCCGGCUAACUACGUGCCAGCCGCAGC